Molecule: ribosomal RNA, 468 nt
Filed under: uncultured bacterium
Lineage: Bacteria
Description: partial 16S ribosomal RNA
Rfam family: Bacterial small subunit ribosomal RNA
Source: RNAcentral
GACGAACGCUGGCGGCGGGCUUAACACAUGCAAGUCGAGCGGAAGGGCCCUGCUUGUGUGGGGUUCUCGAGUGGCGAACGGGUGAGUAGCACGGGAGUAACCUUCCCUGUACGGGGGGAUAACUGCAGGAGACUGGGGCUAAUACCGGAUAGGAGCGCCUGCUGCAUGGGGGGGGUUGGAAAGUUUCGGCGGUUGGGGAUGGACUCGCGGCUUAUCAGCUUGUGGGUGGGGUAGUGGCUUACCAAGGCUUUGACGGGUAGCCGGCCUGAGAGGGUGACCGGCCACAUUGGGACUGAGAUACGGCCCAGACUCCUACGGGAGGCAGCAGUGGGGAAUAUUGCACAAUGGGCGGAAGCCUGAUGCAGCAACGCCGCGUGCGGGAUGACGGCCUUCGGGUUGUAAACCGCUUUCGCCUGUGACGAAGCGUGAGUGACGGUAAUGGGUAAAGAAGCACCGGCUAACUACGUG